This 253-nucleotide ribosomal RNA is filed under the name uncultured bacterium. Its description in RNAcentral is "partial 16S ribosomal RNA". It matches the Rfam family "Bacterial small subunit ribosomal RNA", at positions 524 to 776 of the family's 1533-position model. The record is from RNAcentral.
UACGUAGGGUCCGAGCGUUGUCCGGAAUUAUUGGGCGUAAAGGGCUCGUAGGCGGUCUGUCGCGUCGGGAGUGAAAACUUACAGCUUAACUGUGAACUUGCUUUCGAUACGGGCAGACUUGAGGCAUUCAGGGGAGAACGGAAUUCCUGGUGUAGCGGUGAAAUGCGCAGAUAUCAGGAGGAACACCGGUGGCGAAGGCGGGUCUCUGGGCCGGUACUGACGCUAAGGAGCGAAAGCGUGGGGAGCGAACAGG